Molecule: ribosomal RNA, 974 nt
Filed under: Tergivelum baldwinae
Lineage: Eukaryota; Metazoa; Hemichordata; Enteropneusta
Description: bacterial SSU rRNA
Rfam family: Eukaryotic small subunit ribosomal RNA
Source: RNAcentral
AAGAUUAAGCCAUGCAUGUCUAGGUACGAGCCUCCGUACAAAGCGAAACUGCGAAUGGCUCAUUAAAUCAGUUAUGGUUCCUUUGAUCGUUACCCAUUACUCGGAUAACUGUGGUAAUUCUAGAGCUAAUACGUGCGAAUGAGCGCCGACCUCGCGGGAGGCGUGCUUUUAUUAGGACCAAGACCAAUACGGGUCUUCGUGGCCCGGUCCCAAUGGCGAAUUCUGGAUAACUUGGCGGAUCGCACGGCCUCGGCGCCGGCGAUGAGUCUUUCGAGUGUCUGCCCUAUCAACUUUCGAUGGUACGUUAUGCGCCUACCAUGGUUGUAACGGGUAACGGGGAAUCAGGGUUCGAUUCCGGAGAGGGAGCCUGAGAAACGGCUACCACAUCCAAGGAAGGCAGCAGGCGCGCAAAUUACCCAUUCCCGACACGGGGAGGUAGUGACGAAAAGUAACAUACGGAUCUUUCAGGCCCUGUAAUUGGAAUGACCUCCUAAAAUCCUUAAGGAGCGAUUUGUUGGUUAAUUCCGAUAACGAACGAGACUCUGGCUUGUAAAUAGUUACGCGACCCGACGGGUCGGCGUUCAACUUCUUAGAGGGACAAGUGGCGUUUAGUCACGCGAGAUUGAGCAAUAACAGGUCUGUGAUGCCCUUAGAUGUCCGGGGCCGCACGCGCGCUACACUGAAAGAAUCAGCGGGCGUCACCUCCCUGGCCGCCGGGUCUGGGUAAUCCGAUGAACCCCUUUCGUGCUAGGGAUAGGGAAUUGUAAUUAUUUCCCUUGAACGAGGAAUUCCCAGUAAGCGCGAGUCAUAAGCUCGCGUUGAUUACGUCCCUGCCCUUUGUACACACCGCCCGUCGCUACUACCGAUUGAAUGGUUUAGUGAGAUCUUCGGAUCGGCCGCGUCGGGGUCGUUCGCGGCCUCGCUCGUUGCGCCGAGAAGAUGAUCAAACUUGAUCAUUUAGAGGAAGUAAAAGU